AAAAAGGCUCUUUUAAGAGCCACCCACAUUUUCCCUGAAAAGAGCU
Molecule: non-coding RNA, 46 nt
Organism: Canis lupus familiaris (dog)
Lineage: Eukaryota; Metazoa; Chordata; Mammalia; Carnivora; Canidae
Source: Rfam